UGGCGGCAGGCCUAACACAUGCAAGUCGAGCGGUAACAUUUCUAGCUUGCUAGAAGAUGACGAGCGGCGGACGGGUGAGCAACGCGUAGAAAUCUACCUAGUAGUGGGGGAUAGCCCAGAGAAAUUUGGAUUAAUACCGCAUACGCCCUACGGGGGAAAGCGGGGGAUCUUCGGACCUCGUGCUAUUAGAUGAGUCUGCGUCGGAUUAGCUUGUUGGUGAGGUAAUGGCUCACCAAGGCGACGAUCCGUAGCUGGUCUGAGAGGAUGACCAGCCACACUGGAACUGAGACACGGUCCAGACUCCUACGGGAGGCAGCAGUGGGGAAUAUUGCACAAUGGGCGCAAGCCUGAUGCAGCCAUGCCGCGUGUGUGAAGAAGGCCUUAGGGUUGUAAAGCACUUUCAGCAGUGAGGAAAGGGGUGUCGUUAAUAGCGCCAUCCUGUGACGUUAACUGCAGAAGAAGGACCGGCUAACUCCGUG
This 479-nucleotide ribosomal RNA is filed under the name uncultured bacterium. RNAcentral's name for it is "bacterial SSU rRNA". It matches the Rfam family "Bacterial small subunit ribosomal RNA", at positions 37 to 507 of the family's 1533-position model. The record is from RNAcentral.